AUUGAACGCUGGCGGCAGGCCUAACACAUGCAAGUCGAGCGGUAGAAGGAAGCUUGCUUCCUUUGAGAGCGGCGGACGGGUGAGUAAUGCCUAGGAAUCUGCCUGGUAGUGGGGGAUAACGUUCGGAAACGAACGCUAAUACCGCGUACGUCCUACGGGAGAAAGCAGGGGACCUUCGGGCCUUGCGCUAUCAGAUGAGCCUAGGUCGGAUUAGCUUGUUGGUGAGGUAAUGGCUCACCAAGGCAACGAUCCGUAACUGGUCUGAGAGGAUGAUCAGUCACACUGGAACUGAGACACGGUCCAGACUCCUACGGGAGGCAGCAGUGGGGAAUAUUGGACAAUGGGGGAAACCCUGAUCCAGCCAUGCCGCGUGUGUGAAGAAGGUCUUAGGAUUGUAAAGCACUUUAAGUUGGGAGGAAGGGUUGUAGCUUAAUACGCUGCAACUUGACGUACCGACAG
Molecule: ribosomal RNA, 459 nt
Filed under: Pseudomonas sp. S63b
Lineage: Bacteria; Pseudomonadati; Pseudomonadota; Gammaproteobacteria; Pseudomonadales; Pseudomonadaceae
Description: bacterial SSU rRNA
Rfam family: Bacterial small subunit ribosomal RNA
Source: RNAcentral